UCGGGCUAACUAUAUCCAUAACACCUGUGAACUGUUGAUUGACUUCGGUCAAUAUUUUUACAAACAUUGUGUAAUGAACGUCAUGUUAUAAUAACAAAUAUAACUUUCAACAACGGAUCUCUUGGCUCUCGCAUCGAUGAAGAACGCAGCUGAGGAUCAUUAGUGAUUUGCCUUCGGGCUAAACUAUAUCCAUAACACCUGUGAACUG
RNAcentral lists this unclassified non-coding RNA (208 nucleotides) under Cutaneotrichosporon curvatum. RNAcentral's name for it is "sequence contains ITS1, 5.8S rRNA gene, ITS2". The stretch from base 102 to 208 matches the Rfam family "5.8S ribosomal RNA", at positions 1 to 62 of the family's 154-position model. From Rfam's summary of the family: 5.8S ribosomal RNA (5.8S rRNA) is a component of the large subunit of the eukaryotic ribosome. The record is from RNAcentral. Lineage: Eukaryota; Fungi; Basidiomycota; Tremellomycetes; Trichosporonales; Trichosporonaceae.